RNAcentral lists this ribosomal RNA (301 nucleotides) under uncultured bacterium. Its description in RNAcentral is "partial 16S ribosomal RNA". It matches the Rfam family "Bacterial small subunit ribosomal RNA", at positions 509 to 807 of the family's 1533-position model. The record is from RNAcentral.
CAGCCGCCGCGGGAAUACGUAGGUGGCGAGCGUUGUCCGGAAUUAUUGGGCGUAAAGCGCGCGUAGGCGGCUUGGUAAGUUAGAGGUGAAAGCCCGGAGCUCAACUCCGGAAUUGCCUUUAAGACUGCCGAGCUAGUAGGUGAGAGAGGUAAGUGGAAUUCCGAGUGUAGAGGUGAAAUUCGUAGAUAUUCGGAAGAACACCAGUGGCGAAGGCGGCUUACUGGCUCAUUCUAGACGCUGAGGUGCGAAAGCGUGGGGAGCAAACAGGAUUAGAUACCCGCGUAGUCCCUGUCUCUUAUAC